This 253-nucleotide ribosomal RNA is filed under the name uncultured bacterium. RNAcentral's name for it is "partial 16S ribosomal RNA". It matches the Rfam family "Bacterial small subunit ribosomal RNA", at positions 524 to 776 of the family's 1533-position model. The record is from RNAcentral.
UACAGAGGUCCCAAGCGUUGUUCGGAUUCAUUGGGCGUAAAGGGUGCGUAGGUGGCGCCGUAAGUCGGGUGUGAAAUUUCGGAGCUUAACUCCGAAACUGCAUUCGAUACUGCGGUGCUUGAGGACUGGAGAGGAGACUGGAAUUCAUGGUGUAGCGGUGAAAUGCGUAGAGAUCGUAAGGAAGACCAGUGGCGAAGGCGGGUCUCUGGACAGUUCCUGACGCUGAGGCACGAAGGCCAGGGGAGCAAACGGG